UGCAAGUCGUACGCUUCUUUUUCCACCGGAGCUUGCUCCACCGGAAAAAGAAGAGUGGCGAACGGGUGAGUAACACGUGGGUAACCUGCCCAUCAGAAGGGGAUAACACUUGGAAACAGGUGCUAAUACCGUAUAACAAUCGAAACCGCAUGGUUUUGAUUUGAAAGGCGCUUUCGGGUGUCGCUGAUGGAUGGACCCGCGGUGCAUUAGCUAGUUGGUGAGGUAACGGCUCACCAAGGCCACGAUGCAUAGCCGACCUGAGAGGGUGAUCGGCCACAUUGGGACUGAGACACGGCCCAAACUCCUACGGGAGGCAGCAGUAGGGAAUCUUCGGCAAUGGACGAAAGUCUGACCGAGCAACGCCGCGUGAGUGAAGAAGGUUUUCGGAUCGUAAAACUCUGUUGUUAGAGAAGAACAAGGAUGAGAGUAACUGUUCAUCCCUUGACGGUAUCUAACCAGAAAGCCACGGCUAACUACGUGCCAGCAGCCGCGGUAAUACGUAGGUGGCAAGCGUUGUCCGGAUUUAUUGGGCGUAAAGCGAGCGCAGGCGGUUUCUUAAGUCUGAUGUGAAAGCCCCCGGCUCAACCGGGGAGGGUCAUUGGAAACUGGGAGACUUGAGUGCAGAAGAGGAGAGUGGAAUUCCAUGUGUAGCGGUGAAAUGCGUAGAUAUAUGGAGGAACACCAGUGGCGAAGGCGGCUCUCUGGUCUGUAACUGACGCUGAGGCUCGAAAGCGUGGGGAGCAAACAGGAUUAGAUACCCUGGUAGUCCACGCCGUAAACGAUGAGUGCUAAGUGUUGGAGGGUUUCCGCCCUUCAGUGCUGCAGCUAACGCAUUAAGCACUCCGCCUGGGGAGUACGACCGCAAGGUUGAAACUCAAAGGAAUUGACGGGGGCCCGCACAAGCGGUGGAGCAUGUGGUUUAAUUCGAAGCAACGCGAAGAACCUUACCAGGUCUUGACAUCCUUUGACCACUCUAGAGAUAGAGCUUCCCCUUCGGGGGCAAAGUGACAGGUGGUGCAUGGUUGUCGUCAGCUCGUGUCGUGAGAUGUUGGGUUAAGUCCCGCAACGAGCGCAACCCUUAUUGUUAGUUGCCAUCAUUUAGUUGGGCACUCUAGCAAGACUGCCGGUGACAAACCGGAGGAAGGUGGGGAUGACGUCAAAUCAUCAUGCCCCUUAUGACCUGGGCUACACACGUGCUACAAUGGGAAGUACAACGAGUCGCGAAGUCGCGAGGCUAAGCUAAUCUCUUAAAGCUUCUCUCAGUUCGGAUUGUAGGCUGCAACUCGCCUACA
Molecule: ribosomal RNA, 1292 nt
Filed under: Enterococcus durans
Lineage: Bacteria; Bacillati; Bacillota; Bacilli; Lactobacillales; Enterococcaceae
Description: bacterial SSU rRNA
Rfam family: Bacterial small subunit ribosomal RNA
Source: RNAcentral